GUAUUCUUUGUGACUAAGACGAAUGACAAACUGAAUCCUCAUUCAAAUACACAUUCAGAACAGACGACACUUACAUUGUGCACUGGGGGAUUUAGAGAACAUGAGUACAUAACAGUUGGAAAGGAUUCAAAAUGACGUCGUUAAGAGUAUUAGUUUUGAUAUUUUUAGUUGAUAUAUCUGUUUGUGAAUUUGAAAUAUAUAAAGAACUAUGUCAGCAAAUAGAUGACAGAGUGGACAAUUGUAUGAGAUCAUUUGAACAACCUUAUAUUAGCAAUAGAGAAGAUGUUUCAAAAAUCACUAGAAAAAUUAACGGUAGAUCUUUCAUGGAUCCAGCAACAUAUUCUGCAAUAAUACCUGAAGUCUGUAGUCGAUUGGAAAACUACGAAGUUUUACUAAGAUGUUCGUAUACAGCUUUAGAGUCCUGUCUGUCAGUCGAAUAUAGGUAUAUGCUUCCUACACAAGAGAGAUUUAUUCAAGGAUUUAGAUAUUUCUGUCGUAGAUAUUAUAUGAAAGAACUGACUAUUCAGUGUCACGAAAACAACACUCGACAAGUGAAACCACAAGAACAAAGAAUUUUAGAUUUUGAAACAAAUAUGACUCAGUGUAUUCGUAGAAAUACUGUCUUUCAACCAGUACAAGUCCAAUCACAGUCACAAACAAACAUCGUACAGAGAAAUAUUGAUACACAAUGCAGGAAUUACAAUGUUGGAUAUAGAUGUGUGGAGAAUAUAUUUUAUUACCGAUGCCACAGAACCAGAAAUAUUUACUUAGAAUUUUACCACUAUCUAAGACCAUAUGCGUGUUCAGCAUCGCAACUGACCAGUCCAUUCUGGCUUCUUUCUCUAUUAUAUUUUACCACAAAAGUAAUUUUAUCAAAUGUUAGCACAUAACAGCUAUUGAGUAUUCGGUACGUUAGCUUUUUUACUUGAAUAUGGGGCUUGGAUUUUAUAUUAAACAAGUACCGCCGUACCGUGAACCAGGAAUCGAGCAUGACGUCAUCACCGCCAUCUUUGAAUUGCUACCUCAUCAAAAAUCAGCAUGCCAUAAACUUUAUUUGGAAGAUCGUCGGCCCCAAGAAGAGGAACAAGAACAAGAUGAGUAGCACAUGAGGUUCCGUUCCUAGUCGCCCAGUUUCUGGUCUGCAAAAAAAAACAAACAAAAAAACAGUUAAACAAAAGAAAUAUUAUCUCAGAAUUUUUUCGAUCAACUAUUGAUUAGUGUUUUAAGUGGACAGUAUAUAAAAUCCCUUAAAGAUUUAAGAGAAGGUCAGCAACAAUACCACUUAUAACCCAUGUCAGAUAACCUGAUCAAUGUCACUCCAUUAUGACAAACGAUUAUGCCCAUGGCAUUUCUUCUUUCUUUGACGGGUUGCUAAUCCCUAAUACAGACCUCAAAAUGAUAUGUAGGACUGGUUUGACCUUGACCUUGAGAAAAUGAUUGACUGUAAUUAUGAAAAAUAGUUAAAGGCCGUUAUUUUUUGUCAAUGUAAAUACUGUUUAGCACUACGAGUGAUUUUAAUUGUAACCUUGUUCAAGAUUUCUAUUGUUGCCAUGAAUUUUGUUUGAUCUCCUUAAACGAUUAUUUUUUUUUCUUUUUUCGUUGAGUAUAUGGUUGUUAUAUUUUAAAUUAGCAUUGUUCUACCAGAUCAAAUAAAGAGUUUUGUUGCCACAAUUUCGUUUCAGUUGUUUCCAUAAUUCCAUAUUUUCUCCAACAUAUUCAGUUUUUUUUAGGCCACACCUACUAAAUUAUGCGUCGUUUUCUUAGGAGUUAAAUUGGUUAUUUUUUAUAAAAGCUCUUAUUACCAAAUUAUUCGGUUCUGAAAUUCUACAAGAUAACAUAAUUCAUGUGGAAUAUAUCAUACCGAAUAGCUAAAAAUCUAAUUGGUAUGGCCUUUGUUAUCCUAUUAGUUCUGUUAAAAUUAAUAAAAUUCCACGGUUUAACCUUAUUUUUGUAGACAUAGAUUUAACCAUAUAGAAAAUGUAUACAGUACUGGCCAGUAGUUGACUAAUAGCUCUCUUUAAAUUAUUUCAUCCCAAAUAAUAUAAUCUUUAUUUUGCACCAAAAGUUAUUUGAAUCAAAGUAAUAAAGAAAUAUAGUGACGAAUUAGCUUACCAAAGAUUUCCAUUUAGUUUGAAUAGCCUGUGUUUAGCGUACAUUAAUUAACAAAUUAUCGGAGAUUCCGAAUAAUGUAAUGAUGAUUUAAUAUUAUCGGAAUACUCAGUCGUAGGUCUAAAAUAUAACGGAAGUCGUUUGUAUAUUCAUACUAUUAAAGGGACAAUAACACUCUUGCUGGCUUGACAGCUCCAGAAAAUAAAUAAUAGACUUAUUCUAAGUAUUAGAUGUUUAAGUAUCCUACCUGUUGUGUAAAUAAUCCAUUAAAUCAUAUUUUACUUGUCCAGAGGGUUCGAAAAUGUUUUUAAAUCUAAGUCACAUUUAAAAAGCUUUACGUUAGGCUUUUCAAAUCAUUUAGUUGAAUUUUUCCAAUUUUUUAAAUUAGGUGUGUUAAGAUGAAAUUUGUAUCCUCAAUUAACUGGAAUAUUGUAAAAUAGUACAAUUUGUUGACCAGAAUAAAGAUUGGGACAUAUUAUUCAGUUACAACAAGGGUGGUAUUGAGCCUUUAAGGAUAAUCCCGAAGUGCAGGUUUUACUGUACAUGUAAAUACCGUAAUUGAAGUAAAGUUGUAAUUUUGGCUUAUAUACCAUGAUUAAAAUUAAGCUAUAAUUUUAGCUGAUGAUUAAAAUUAAGCUGUUAUUUUAGCUUAUUUACUAUGAUUAACAUUUAGCUUUAAUUCUAGCUUAUAUACCAUGAUUAAAAUUAAGCUAUAAUUUUAGCUGAUGGUUAAAAUUAAGCUGAUAUUUUAGCUUAUUUACCAUGAUUUAAAAAAAGCUUUAAUUCUAGCUUAAAUACCAUGAUUAAAAUUAAGCUAUAAUUUUAGAUGACAGUUAAAAUUAAGCUAUAAUUUUAGCUAAUAUACCAUGAUUAUCAUUAUAUGUUGUAAUUUUAGCUUAUAUACUAUUGGGGUAUUAUGUAUUAUCAAAUUAUGCAUUUUAUCUGUCUUUCAAGGUGCAUGUACUCAUGGAUGUAAUUCGCUUGUGACCAAAGUCCAUGGUCCACAUCACGAGUUAUGUGUGGGUCUAAAUAGUUGCGUUGAAUAUGAUGCUUAUUUAAGUUAUAUGUCAUAACUUCAUAUGUCCGUUUGAUUGACGUACGACGCAAAUCAAUGACCACUGCUCAGACUGCACUGGAAGGUCGUAUGUUGGGUGAUGAAAAACAAACGCCCAGCUUGCGGCGAUGCGUGCUCAUUUUGAAUCAAGAUAGGAAUAAGACAGACCGUCGUUAUUUUAAAAUGACUAGAUGUACAUGUAGACUAUAUUAUUUUAUAUUUUAGCAAAAGGGACACAACCUGGUCCUGGCAUUGUUUGAAGUAGUAAUACAUUUGUUAGUUUUAUUGGUGGAAAAUCGCCUUGUAACAAGGCCUUACCAGUAAAUAACGCUGUAUUGAACUUUUACCCUGUCUUUUUAAAACAUUGACAAUGGUUGUCACCGGCAAACCUCGAAAAACUCCGGAACCCUACAUCUAACCUCGGUUGUAUGCCGAAUUCCGCCAUUGGAAGUCGGAACUACUUUCAGGUCCCCAGAUUAAAAAUGGCUUCGCCCAUGAAGAUGAAUGUUUUAUCUGAAGAAACUGUAUAUUAUUUGUUAUGUACUAUCUUGAUCCGAUUUUCUUUAAACAAAAGACAACUUUGCAAUGAAAACUCUACACUACGCAAGUUUUUCCUAAUAAGUAAACCGGUAGCCGCAUCACAAUUAUAUGGGUGUAGCCGACGCUAGAUGUAAUGCUACCGGAGUCUGCCGAGGCUUGCCGAGUGAUUGGUUGUGCCCCCCAUUAGGUAUUAUUAUUUUAGUGUUAUAUUAUUAUGUUACAAAUAAUAUACUCAAUUAAUCAGCAUACAUAAAUUCGUAUUCAUUGAUUAGAUAUUAUGAAUCUCACGUGAUACUAUUGAGUUUUUGUUUGGAAUUAUUGUACAAUUGUAAAUUAGUCAUCUUCUCUUACAUAGUUAUUCAAUUGUUUAUUAUAUCAAUAAACAUGUUUUUUUUAUAUAUACAUGUAUAAAAUAAUUUGCUACUUUGAUAAUUCAUUAAUAAAAACUUGGAAAGUACGACACGUUAA
Molecule: long non-coding RNA, 4171 nt
Organism: Patella vulgata (common limpet)
Lineage: Eukaryota; Metazoa; Mollusca; Gastropoda; Patellidae
Exons: 5
Source: RefSeq, a predicted model, not a curated record